GCCCGCCUAGCUCAAUCGGAUAGAGCGUCAGACUCUUAACUUGGCAGGGUAUCUGAAGGCUGCGAGUUCGACCCUCGCGGUGGGCU
Non-coding RNA from Tephrocybe sp. NHM501043, 86 nucleotides. NCBI's taxonomy places the organism in Eukaryota, Fungi, Basidiomycota, Agaricomycetes, Agaricales, Lyophyllaceae. The record is from the annotation of a GenBank genome assembly.